CAGCAGCCGCGGUAAUACGUAGGUGGCAAGCGUUGUCCGGAAUUAUUGGGCGUAAAGGGCUCGCAGGCGGUUUCUUAAGUCUGAUGUGAAAGCCCCCGGCUCAACCGGGGAGGGUCAUUGGAAACUGGGAAACUUGAGUGCAGAAGAGGAGAGUGGAAUUCCACGUGUAGCGGUGAAAUGCGUAGAGAUGUGGAGGAACACCAGUGGCGAAGGCGACUCUCUGGUCUGUAACUGACGCUGAGGAGCGAAAGCGUGGGGAGCGAACAGGAUUAGAUACCCGUGUAGUCCCUGUCUCUUAUAA
RNAcentral lists this ribosomal RNA (301 nucleotides) under uncultured bacterium. RNAcentral's name for it is "partial 16S ribosomal RNA". It matches the Rfam family "Bacterial small subunit ribosomal RNA", at positions 509 to 809 of the family's 1533-position model. The record is from RNAcentral.